CGUUCCCGGGUCUUGUACACACCGCCCGUCACACCAUGGGAGUUGGGGGCGCCCGAAGCCGGUUAGCUAACCUUUUGGAAGCGGCCGUCGAAGGUGAAAUCAAUAACUGGGGUG
This 114-nucleotide ribosomal RNA is filed under the name uncultured bacterium. RNAcentral describes it as "partial 16S ribosomal RNA". It matches the Rfam family "Bacterial small subunit ribosomal RNA", at positions 1369 to 1482 of the family's 1533-position model. The record is from RNAcentral.